UAAAUAAAUGCAUGCUAAAGUUCACGAUUGAAUAAUUAAUGUCGUGGAGUUAUUUUGACGUCUAUUUUUAAUUUUUGACGUAUUUUUAUUUCUCUUGGAGAGAUACCGAAAAUGGGAUUUUCGGUGGAUAUAAAUAUGUAUUUAUGAGAGAGUAUGUAUAGAAAAUGCUAGCUAGCCAUAUGUGUCUGUCCACCUUAAUGGCGUAGCAUAUAGCCGCAUUAUGGUGUGACGUGAGCGUUAGACGUAAGCGUAGUAGCCCUAUUUGAGUGUUUAAUUCAUAUAGGGGGUAUGGACACAUAUUUAUACACCCGUCUGUCCACCUUGAUGGCGUAGUGUAGCACCGCAUUAAGGCGUGACGUCAGCGUUGGACGCGAGCGUAGUAGCCCUAUAUAGACCCAUGAAUUUAUAUAGGGAGUAUGGACGAGUGUAAAUACAUACAUAUAUUAUAGAGUCUGAGAGGCUCGAUAUUUAUAGGAUAAAAGUUUUAUCGCUUGCGGCAUGCAUUCGAUUUUUCCUUAGAAAUUAAUUUGGGGAAACAUAAAUAUUUUAUUUAUUAUUUUAUUUUUUUGUCCACUCACUCUAACGUUAUUAAAUGUUUUCCCCUGGGCCCUUCGUUUUAAAUUGCCCAGUCUGCAGAGUUCGGGUUGGAUCUAGUAGGAGACGAGGCAUAGUCACCCGCAUUUCUGCCAGUUUUCGCCAGUAGGUUACCUGUUCAACCUACUCGUGUUUUCUUGCUUCCGCUUGUGUUUAGUAGCUCUGAAUACUUUAGAAUUUUUGUAUAUUAUGUGUUAAAUUAAGAGUGUAAUUUUAAUUUUCGAGUUAGGGUUGUCCAUCUGCAAGGGAGAUUUUCUCAAUCUUUUCAGUAAAUUUUCCUUGGAGGUGGUCCCCGC
This 890-nucleotide long non-coding RNA is filed under the name Fragaria vesca (wild strawberry). RNAcentral's name for it is "long non-coding RNA (FVES_LNC004594)". The record is from RNAcentral. Lineage: Eukaryota; Viridiplantae; Streptophyta; Magnoliopsida; Rosales; Rosaceae.